UUAAGGAUCUUGAGAUCUGCAGCCGAAGCGAAAGCGAGUCUUAAUAGGGCGGAUAGUCGGAAGGAGUAGACGCGAAACCAAGUGAUCUACCCUUGGGCAGGUUGAAGGAUGGGUAACACCAUCUGGAGGACCGAACCAAUAAGCGUUGAAAAGCUUCUGGAUGACCUGAGGGUGGGGGUGAAAGGCUAAUCAAACUUGGAGAUAGCUCGUACUCCCCGAAAUGCAUUUAGGUGCAGCCUUGACUUAUACUGGCAUGAGGUAGAGCGACUGAUAAGAUGCGAGGGCUUCACCGCCUAUCAAGUCUUGACAAACUCCGAAUGCGCAUCAGUUCUACCGCAGGAGUGAGGGCAUGGGUGCUAAGGUCCGUGCCCGAGAGGAGAAGAAUCCGGACCACCUGCUAAGGUCCCGAAAUGACAGCUAAGUUAAACUAACGAAGUCUGACUGCUAAGACAGCUAGGAUGUUGGCUUGGAAGCAGCCAUUCAUUUAAAGAGUGCGUAACAGCUCACUAGUCGAGGAGUCGGGCGUGGAUAAUAAUCGGGUAUUAAGUUGUCUACCGAAGCAGUGGGAUCAUUUAUAUGAUCGGUAGGGGAGCAUUCCAGUCAGCGUCGAAGGCGUACCGUGAGGUAUUCUGGAGCGUCUGGAAAAGCAAAUGUAGGUAUAAGUAACGAUAAAGGGGGCGGGAAACCCCCUCGCCGAAAGACUAAGGUUUCCUGAUCAACGCUAAUCGGAUCAGGGUCAGUCGGGUCCUAAGGCUCAGCCGAACGGCGAGGCCGAUGGCAGAACCGGUUAAUAUUCCGGUACUACCUGUGGGAGUGACGUGGAGACGGAGUCGUGACAGCGCCGCGGACUGACGGAAUAGUCCGUUGAAGGGUGUAGAUGCUGAUUGUUCCAGGCAAAUCCGGAGCAAGAGUCGAACCUGACAGUAUGGAGCGUUCUUAGAACAAUCCAAUAGUGCGUGUAAUCAUACUUCCAAGAAAAUCCGCUAAACUUAAUCUUUAAGGUACCCGUACCGUAAACGGACACACGUAGUCGGGUUGAAUAUACUAAGGCGCUUGAGUGAUUCACGGUUAAGGAACUAGGCAAAUUGACCCUGUAACCUCGGGAAAAAGGGUCCCCAGUAAGAUGGGGCGCAGAGAAUAGGUCCAGGCAACUGUUUAACAAAAACACAGGGCUGUGCAAAAUUGAAAGAUGAAGUAUACAGCCUGACACCUGCCCGGUGCUGGAAGGUUAAGAGGAGAUGUCAUCGCAAGAGAAGCAUUGAAUUGAAGCCCCAGUAAACGGCGGCCGUAACUAUAACGGUCCUAAGGUAGCGAAAUUCCUUGUCGGGUAAGUUCCGACCUGCACGAAUGGUGUAAUGAUCUGGACGCUGUCUCAACCGUGAGCUCAGUGAAAUUGUAGUAUCGGUGAAGAUGCCGAUUACCCGCGAUGGGACGAAAAGACCCCGUGAACCUUUACUAUAGCUUAACAUUGAAUUUGGGUAAUUGAUGUGUAGGAUAGGCCGGAGGCUUUGAAGCAGGUACGCCAGUAUUUGUGGAGCCGCUGUUGAAAUACGGCCCUUUGAUUAUUUGAGUUCUAACCCGCUGCUGCGGGGACACUGUUUGGUGGGUAGUUUGACUGGGGUGGUCGCCUCCAAAAGCGUAACGGAGGCUUCUAAAGGUGCCCUCACGACGAUUGGUAACCGUCGGCAGAGUGUAAUGGCAUAAGGGCGCUUGACUGGGAGACUAACAAGUCGAUCAGGUAGGAAACUAGAGCAUAGUGAUCCGGUGGUUCCGCAUGGAAGGGCCAUCGCUCAAAGGAUAAAAGGUACUCCGGGGAUAACAGGCUGAUCCCUCCCAAGAGCUCAUAUCGACGGAGUGGUUUGGCACCUCGAUGUCGGCUCGUCACAUCCUGGGGCUGGAGAAGGUCCCAAGGGUUGGGCUGUUCGCCCAUUAAAGUGGCACGCGAGCUGGGUUCAGAACGUCGUGAGACAGUUCGGUCUCUAUCUAUCGUGGGCGUAUGAAAUUUGCGUGGCUCUGACACUAGUACGAGAGGACCGUGUUGGACUGACCUCUGGUUUACCGGUUGUGCCGCCAGGUGCAU
RNAcentral lists this ribosomal RNA (2080 nucleotides) under human gut metagenome. RNAcentral describes it as "bacterial LSU rRNA". It matches the Rfam family "Bacterial large subunit ribosomal RNA", at positions 646 to 2738 of the family's 2925-position model. The record is from RNAcentral.